CCGGUAUUCCCGGUGUGGAAUUCCCGGUAUUCCCGGUAUUCCCGGGGGUGCCGACGCCGUUUCUCUGAUUUCCUUCCUCACAGAGGGGCCGGAGCCAGAGACCAAGGAAGGGAUCCUGCCGCAGGUGAGCAACGGCGAGGCCGGAGGAGAUUCCCAGACCCGCGCCCGCACCUGGAAGAGGGAGAGCAUCUGCCGAGGGGAGCGUUUCUCCUUCCCGGAGGUGGGGGACGAGGUCAUCUACGACGACGUUCCCUGCGAGGGCCUGGAUGUGCACCAGGAUGGUACGGGAGCGCU
Lonchura striata (white-rumped munia) is the source of this 294-nucleotide non-coding RNA. The record is from RefSeq and is a predicted model, not a curated record. Lineage: Eukaryota; Metazoa; Chordata; Aves; Passeriformes; Estrildidae.